CGAAAGCCUGACGGAGCAACGCCGCGUGAGGGAGGAAGGUCUUUGGAUUGUAAACCUCUUUUCUCAAGGAAGAUAAUGACGGUACUUGAGGAAUCAGCAUCGGCUAACUCCGUGCCAGCAGCCGCGGUAAUACGGGGGAUGCAAGCGUUAUCCGGAAUUAUUGGGCGUAAAGCGUCCGUAGGCGGCGAGUCAAGUCUGCUGUUAAAGAGUGCAGCUUAACUGCAUAGAGGCGGUAGAAACUGACUAGCUAGAGUGUGGUAGGGGUAGAGGGAAUUCCCGGUGUAGCGGUGAAAUGCGUAGAUAUCGGGAAGAACACCNGUGGCGAAGGCGCUC
Molecule: ribosomal RNA, 333 nt
Filed under: uncultured cyanobacterium
Lineage: Bacteria; Bacillati; Cyanobacteriota
Description: bacterial SSU rRNA
Rfam family: Bacterial small subunit ribosomal RNA
Source: RNAcentral